UCAGAGUUGGAGUUGCGCCAGGCCUCCUUGGAUCCUUAAAAACGCAUUUUCAAAAAGUGUCUUAAAAGCCUCCUGACUCACUAAAUCAGUGCCUUUUUCAGCAGAGUGUAUUGUGAGGUCGCAGGUCGAGAGGAUGACAGCUCGAGUGUGCUGCUCGUUGAUUGUUGCUUUAUUUUGUGUCUCUGUUUGUUUGAGCACAAGAGCUGAAAGAGCAGCCACAGUAAAUGGAUCUAUUCAUUUGGCUGCAGGGUUGUUACCAGUGGCCGGUCGGUGUCUGGCGAAGCUGAUGGUUGUGCAG
This is a long non-coding RNA of Sinocyclocheilus rhinocerous, 298 nucleotides long. RefSeq lists it as uncharacterized. The transcript is spliced from 3 exons. NCBI's taxonomy places the organism in Eukaryota, Metazoa, Chordata, Actinopteri, Cypriniformes, Cyprinidae. The record is from RefSeq and is a predicted model, not a curated record.